This 566-nucleotide ribosomal RNA is filed under the name Leptotrichus kosswigi. Its description in RNAcentral is "partial 28S ribosomal RNA". The record is from RNAcentral. Lineage: Eukaryota; Metazoa; Arthropoda; Malacostraca; Isopoda; Porcellionidae.
UAAACCCAAAGGCGAAACGAAAGUGAAGGUUGUUUAUCUUUCUUUGGGAUGAUCCGGUUCGCGGGGGGACACGAAGGACGUUCAUCGUCCCCGAAAAUCCUCCCCCGAUUUGUCACCCUGUAUGUGGACGGCGCAAUCCCGGGGUCCGCAACUUUGUUCCUCCCCGUCGCUAAAGCUCGGCCUAAGUCGCCUUGAAAAGGAGUGCGCGUAUCUUCCAGGGGUCCGUCCUCGGUAACGAGGGGGGUACGGGCGGUUGUUUGUUAUAGCAGCAGCAUUCACAGAAACGUUUUGUCUUCUUCACGCGACGGCGUUUGCUUUCGCGGGGGGAAAGAGGCUCUCGUUGGUUGCUGCUGCAUCGUAAUCAAUCCGUUGUUCGGCCUUCCUCUCCCUACCGUGGCAGAUUGAAACGUGGGGGCCUGGAGGCUCUGCGCGUACACAGUGGACGCGCGGCUUAGGUCCGCUGACGCGGGACGAUCGGCGGAUACCUUGAGCCCACAGUCUGGUACCCGAAAGAUGUUGAUCUAUACGUGGCCAGAAUGAAGCCAGAGGAAACUCUGGUGGAGGUC